CAGCGAAUCGCUCGGCCCACUUU
Molecule: microRNA, 23 nt
Filed under: Caenorhabditis elegans
Lineage: Eukaryota; Metazoa; Nematoda; Chromadorea; Rhabditida; Rhabditidae
Description: cel-miR-1832b-5p
Source: miRBase by way of RNAcentral